GUUGCUUUCUGGCUGUUUGCAGUGAUUGUAAAACAUCAGGUUAAAACAAUAUCAAGUCUUGAGAAUGAAUUGGAAAAUCUCAGUACACUUUUAUUCUGAGAGGAUCACUAUUGAUGGCUUGGAGUAGGGCUACAAAGUUGGAGGAUAAGAAUAUGGAGAGAGCUUGUCAACUAAUGAAGCUACAAUACUUUGACACUCUGUGUGUGGACUUUGUGGGCUUUCUUUUUAAGAGACCCUGCAGCCACGAAACAAAGAAACCUCAAAAGAACACAUUUAAAAGAAGGCUGUCAGCCAGCCAAUGCACAGAAAAAAAGCAAACCGUGCAAACAGGAACAAAAAAACACGCAAAGUCUGGCUGUGGGCCUGACUGCAGCUAAGAAGAUUGUAGUCCAGCGUUGGAAACAUCCCCAUGAUAUUUCAGAUACUCACUGGCUUUGGAGCUUUCUGGACAUUUCUUACCUGGAACUUUCAUCAGCAAGAGUAAAUAAUGCAUGACCAAACACAGUCUUAAUGUGGACAAAUUUGAUUUCUAACUUAAAAGGUCUUUUGUUAAAAUAGGAAUGCUUUA
Long non-coding RNA from Hypanus sabinus (Atlantic stingray), 568 nucleotides. RefSeq lists it as uncharacterized. Lineage: Eukaryota; Metazoa; Chordata; Chondrichthyes; Myliobatiformes; Dasyatidae. The record is from RefSeq and is a predicted model, not a curated record. The transcript has 3 exons.